Molecule: ribosomal RNA, 240 nt
Filed under: Pseudomonas viridiflava
Lineage: Bacteria; Pseudomonadati; Pseudomonadota; Gammaproteobacteria; Pseudomonadales; Pseudomonadaceae
Description: partial 16S ribosomal RNA
Rfam family: Bacterial small subunit ribosomal RNA
Source: RNAcentral
UACGUUAUUGUUUUGACGUUACCGACAGAAUAAGCACCGGCUAACUCUGUGCCAGCAGCCGCGGUAAUACAGAGGGUGCAAGCGUUAAUCGGAAUUACUGGGCGUAAAGCGCGCGUAGGUGGUUUGUUAAGUUGAAUGUGAAAUCCCCGGGCUCAACUGGGAACUGCAUCCAAAACUGGCAAGCUAGAGUAGGGCAGAGGGUGGUGGAAUUUCCUGUGUAGCGGUGAAAUGCGUAGAUAU